GUCCACGCCCUAAACGUUGAUUACUCGUUGUUGGCGAUAUACUGUCAGCGACCAAGCUAAAGCGUUAAGUAAUCCACCUGGGAAGUACGACCGCAAGGUUGAAACUCAAAGGAAUUGACGGGGGCCCGCACAAGCGGAGGAGCAUGUGGUUUAAUUCGAUGAUACGCGAGGAACCUUACCUGGGCUUGAAAGUUAGUGACUUUCUGUGAAAGCAGAAUUCUCUUCGGAGCACAAAACUAGGUGCUGCAUGGCUGUCGU
RNAcentral lists this ribosomal RNA (258 nucleotides) under uncultured bacterium. RNAcentral describes it as "partial 16S ribosomal RNA". It matches the Rfam family "Bacterial small subunit ribosomal RNA", at positions 793 to 1055 of the family's 1533-position model. The record is from RNAcentral.